This 72-nucleotide transfer RNA is filed under the name Myotis brandtii (Brandt's bat). It matches the Rfam family "tRNA". Rfam says of the family: Transfer RNA (tRNA) molecules are approximately 80 nucleotides in length. Their secondary structure includes four short double-helical elements and three loops (D, anti-codon, and T loops). Lineage: Eukaryota; Metazoa; Chordata; Mammalia; Chiroptera; Vespertilionidae. The record is from Rfam by way of RNAcentral.
GCCAGUGUAGCUCAGUGGUGAGCAUCGAACUAUGAACAAGGAGGUCACGGGUUCGAUUCCCGGUCAAGGGCA